GGUUCUGUAGUGCAGUGGCUUAUCACUGGAGAUUAUGAUGAAUUUAGGAUUUCUGCUUUCCUUUCUCGUAACCCCGGUUCGAACCCGGGCAGGACCU
Non-coding RNA from Crucibulum laeve, 97 nucleotides. Lineage: Eukaryota; Fungi; Basidiomycota; Agaricomycetes; Agaricales; Nidulariaceae. The record is from the annotation of a GenBank genome assembly.